GAGGGUAUAGCUUAGUGGUAGAGUGAGUGCGUGCUUAGUUUGCACAAGGUCCUAGGUUCAAUCCCCAAUACCUCCA
RNAcentral lists this transfer RNA (76 nucleotides) under Camelus bactrianus (Bactrian camel). It matches the Rfam family "tRNA". Rfam says of the family: Transfer RNA (tRNA) molecules are approximately 80 nucleotides in length. Their secondary structure includes four short double-helical elements and three loops (D, anti-codon, and T loops). Further hydrogen bonds mediate the characteristic L-shaped molecular structure. tRNAs have two regions of fundamental functional importance: the anti-codon, which is responsible for specific mRNA codon recognition, and the 3' end, to which the tRNAs corresponding amino acid is attached (by aminoacyl-tRNA synthetases). tRNAs cope with the degeneracy of the genetic code in two manners: having more than one tRNA (with a specific anti-codon) for a particular amino acid; and 'wobble' base-pairing, i.e. permitting non-standard base-pairing at the 3rd anti-codon position. The record is from Rfam by way of RNAcentral. RNAcentral also lists the same sequence under 2 other names. Lineage: Eukaryota; Metazoa; Chordata; Mammalia; Artiodactyla; Camelidae.